UCGGAGAAUCCUCGUGUGUUCUCUUGUUGUUGUUGUUGUCAUAAAUCUGCGCGAAUAAACCAUGAGCUCUCAAAUAAAGUGUGUCGGAUGGGUGAAGCGCGGAGUCGCUAAAGAAACGCCGGAUAAAGGAUCCCGGUGAUGAGGAGGAGGAGGUUGAUGAAGGUGUUGUCAGUGAAGAGGCAUCAGCCCCGGCUGCUAGUGAAGAAAUAAAAGAGGAGAGAGAGGAUGAGGAUGAUGAGCUUGCAGAGUACGGACUGGACAACUAUGAUGAAGAAGACAUCGGGAUGGAUCUGAGCAGUCUUCAGCAGACAAACACGUGAAGAUCUGGGACAUCCUGGGAGACAAACCCACCCUGACCCCCUCCAGAGACAUGAAGAUGGGCAGUGUGUUCUGCGGCUCCUGUUGUCCGGAUCUGCCGUUCGUCUGUGCGUUUGGAGGACAGAAGGACGGGCUGCACGUCUGGGACAUCAUUGAGAAUCUCCAGCGGCUCCAGAGGAUGUGUGUGUGUUUGUUGCUAACAGUGAUCUGUUGUAUCUCCAGUUGCGGAGGCUUUCUGCAGUCGGGAACGUUUGGUGGUGAAUACAGUAUCCGGAGCGUCCAGCAGUGAACCGGACAUCUCAUAACGACCCACAUUAUGUGAGACUGAGUCAGCGACGGGACGCACAGAAGACUGAAAAUCAUGUGAAUGAAAUAACAAGCAUCUUCUGAUAUAUAUAUAUAUGUCUUUGCUGCCUUUGACAAAUGUUUGAAGCCACUUUCCUUUGAGGGAAUCUUGAAGAUUGAAUUUUCUCUCCAUAUUUCUUCUUUUUAGGAAGUGUAUAAAGAAUUAUGAUAAAUAAUUUACAGUAUAAACUACAGAAUCCCAAGGCAGUUGUCUUACUCUGUAUUUCCAAAUGAUUUCUGUCAGCAUUUUACGAUUCCAAACUGAUCAAUUCUGAAAAACAAAUGCUUUAUCAUAAAUGACUGAUUUAUUAUUGAAUAAAACAAUAUUUAUGGCGGUGUUUCGCUGCCCUCCAGUGGCGUAUUGCGGUACUGCUGGUGUUUGUAAGUUUAUUUUUUUGCCAUUUAAAAAUAUUAUCUUUCAUGAAUGUUAGUGAAAACGAAUUGCCUUCAUGAUUUUAUUUUAUCCUAAUGAAUAAAUUUGAUUCUAUCUAUUAUUUAAAUUGAUCCUAAUGAAUAAAACAAUCUGUGUGGCGGUGUUGCGCUGCCCUCCAGUGGCGUAUUGCGGUACU
Molecule: long non-coding RNA, 1232 nt
Organism: Sinocyclocheilus grahami
Lineage: Eukaryota; Metazoa; Chordata; Actinopteri; Cypriniformes; Cyprinidae
Exons: 4
Source: RefSeq, a predicted model, not a curated record